AUGGGGAGGGGGCGGCCAUGGGGAGCCGGAUCUGGCAUUGUCCGAGCUCCGAGGGCUUUUCCAGCCCUCUUCCCCAACCCUGGGCCCAUUUCGCAGAUGAGAAAACAAAGGCCCAGAGGAGGGCGUAGAGAGUGCUCCGGGGCUGGAAGAAGCAGAGAACAGUCUAGAACCCAGCUGUCAAAGCUUCUGCCUCCCCAAGAUGUGGGCACAAGACAGAGCAGCUUAGCGGAAGACCAACCGCGAAAGCUGUGGAGAAGCAGAAGGAAGGCCUUAGUGAAUGAGACCAGGGCACUCGGGUUUCUAGUGAGACUUCGUUUAUAAUCCUUAUUCCUUAAGGGGGUCCUUGUCCCGACAUUGAAGCAUUCUGCUUCUCCCAAAUAGCAAGAAACCAAGUCUGCUCCCAUUGCCCGCACCUCGUUUCUGAGCGGUUUGCGGGAUUCCCGCGAAAGUGGCCCAUCCAGUCGGUGUCCCAGAACGGCCAGGAUUCUCCGCCCCAUCCUGUUCGCCACCCACCACAUCCGGGUGGCUUCAUGCCAAGGAGCUGAAUCUAGUUGGGGAGACACAGAAGCAGAAAUUCUGAGGAAUCAUUCACCACAGUGCAGAAGGUUUUCAGAAUCACCAGGAAAACAUCUACCAUAGCCUAGGCUGGGCUGAAGCCUUCUGUGGGAGUGGAGCUCCGGGGCUGACUGCAGAUCUCAACCAGACACAGUCCCUCAAGCAACUGGAUUCAAAGAUCCAAAUCAGCACACCACCUGGCAUGUAGUGCAAGUGACCUUCUAAUGCAAAUGACCAGCUCCAAGCAUGAGGACCCUCCUCUGAGGCCAUUGUCCGGGCCUCAACAGUGCCUGUUGGAUGCUGCCUGCUUCAGAAGCCUCACAUCCCUCUGCUCUAGAGCUUUGCUUAGGAGAGACUGCACUUUCCUGGGGCUCAUCAAAUGUGUUUCCUCUGUAAACCCCAUCUCCCUUUUGGGUCAGCUACCUUUUCUUUUGGCCUCAGUUCACCUGUGUCAAGUCCUCAUGGUAGACCAGGCUUGUCCCCUGUGUCUCCACACAGCUCUUUUUUGGUAUUCCUGCAGCCUCAUUGGUAAUUAUUUACAAAUGCCUGAUCUACUCUAGGCCAGGGACCAUAUCCCCAGUACCUAGAACACACCAUGUACCCACUAAGCACUUAGUGCAAAUGUGUUGUCUUCUCACUUGUAUCCUGUGUCCCCUUCUGCCCAUCACAUGCUCUCUCUGGGCCUCACCUUUCUCUUCUGCAGACUGAGGGGGCUAAUAUGCCCACUGGGUUUCAAGUUGUGUUUUGAGAGCCCUACGAUGUCUUUGGGUUCCAGCUCCCUGUUCAACAGAGCCAUCUUUAAAGGGCAUGUUGCCUUCAUCCACUGUAAACAUGGACCUUCUGAAAAGUAUUUUUCUAAAUAGAGUUUGAAAAUAUGGCUGUUCAAAAAAGUUUUUGACUCCUGACUAAUUA
This is a long non-coding RNA of Mesocricetus auratus (golden hamster), 1467 nucleotides long. RefSeq lists it as uncharacterized. The record is from RefSeq and is a predicted model, not a curated record. Lineage: Eukaryota; Metazoa; Chordata; Mammalia; Rodentia; Cricetidae. The transcript has 3 exons.